RNAcentral lists this long non-coding RNA (1004 nucleotides) under Anas platyrhynchos platyrhynchos (common mallard). RNAcentral's name for it is "lncRNA (ENSAPLG00000022810.1)". The record is from RNAcentral. Lineage: Eukaryota; Metazoa; Chordata; Aves; Anseriformes; Anatidae.
GGUGGAAGAAACAUUUUGCUUUUCCCAGACCACGAGAAUUGAUGAAAUAUUAAUUCAGUGCCUGACUUCCCUACUUGACUGAAGUGUAUAUCAGUUCACUGCAGUUAGAGAGGUAUGGCAGCUUCAAACUAUAAUUCUUUCCUGGUACCCUCAGGAGCAGAGUGUGUUUUUCAAUGUCCAUUAGAAAGUGAAGCUGAGUCUCAGGGUAUGAAGCAGUUGAUUUUCUUGGUCCAAGAAAGACAUCAUCCUGGCCAGUCUUGCUGCUAAUCUGAUGAUCUGUACCUCUGCAUGUAAGUUUGAGAGCUGGAUUUACCCAUACAACAUAAGUUAUCUACAGUUCUCGAUAUAUUCCUUUUGUUAGAAAUGCCAUUAUCCACUGAAGAUGCCAAACUGCAUAUCCCAAGAGAAUGCAGUUUAUCAUAAAGAUCUCAGCUGAACUGAUAGAGAUCGCAGAUUAUAAAGUUUAUGCAGUACAGGACUGAGCUGAACUUCAUUAAGAAAUACUGAACAAAGAACCUUACUAUGCUAUUUUCAGACUUGGUUUUCAGAGGGUAACUGAACAUUUAGCUACAUUAAGGCAUUUUUCUUGCCCUUAACAGAUGAGAUUUUUUUUUGUCCUGUCACCAGCUGGUGACCAGCUGAUGUCCUAGUUCAUGAAGAUAGCUUUUUUUUUUUGAUAGCUUUUAGUUCUGUGCAAUGUUGAGUCUUACAAAAUGUUAAUCUGACUUUAGCCUUACAUUGGAAUUUCUGAUAAAUAUUUUGCUGAAGUGAGUUUCUUGGGUUAACUAUCUCUUGCAAGAAUAACAAUGCCUGUUUUAAAAGUACUGUUUUUAAAUGUCAGACUACCUUCUGGUGCCUAUACUAUAGAAAUAAGUAUACCAGAAAUAAGUAUACUAGAAUAUGUAGCAUGCUUUCACUGCAUCUUCUAUUUUUUUGUUCACUACUUUCUGUUUUAAUUCUUAAUGUCUACUUCCAAAUAAUAGAAGAAUAAGCUCACCCACUAC